ACUUUUGUAAUUUAUAGAGAAUAUUACAUUGAAGAUGUGAAAGGGGUUGUUGAACUCAAGAGUG
This 64-nucleotide transfer RNA is filed under the name Munidopsis verrilli. RNAcentral's name for it is "tRNA-Phe". Lineage: Eukaryota; Metazoa; Arthropoda; Malacostraca; Decapoda; Munidopsidae. The record is from RNAcentral.